GUCGGUGUAGUACAACGGUUAGUACAUCCCACUCACAUUACUUUGGAAUUAUCGGGAAAAUGGCUGGUUCGAUUCCGCCCUCUGACA
This is a non-coding RNA of Blastocladiella britannica, 87 nucleotides long. Lineage: Eukaryota; Fungi; Blastocladiomycota; Blastocladiomycetes; Blastocladiales; Blastocladiaceae. The record is from the annotation of a GenBank genome assembly.